GGGUUGUGAGGUUAAGCGACUAAGCGUACACGGUGGAUGCCCUGGCAGUCAGAGGCGAUGAAGGACGUGCUAAUCUGCGAUAAGCGCCGGUAAGGUGAUAUGAACCGUUAUAACCGGCGAUUUCCGAAUGGGGAAACCCAGUGUGAUUCGUCACACUAUCAUUAACUGAAUCCAUAGGUUAAUGAGGCGAACCGGGGGAACUGAAACAUCUAAGUACCCCGAGGAAAAGAAAUCAACCGAGAUUCCCCCAGUAGCGGCGAGCGAACGGGGAGGAGCCCAGAGCCUGAAUCAGCAUGUGUGUUAGUGGAAGCGUCUGGAAAGGUGCGCGAUACAGGGUGACAGCCCCGUACACAAAAGCGCAUGUGCUGUGAGCUCGAUGAGUAGGGCGGGACACGUGGUAUCCUGUCUGAAUAUGGGGGGACCAUCCUCCAAGGCUAAAUACUCCUGACUGACCGAUAGUGAACCAGUACCGUGAGGGAAAGGCGAAAAGAACCCCGGCGAGGGGAGUGAAAAAGAACCUGAAACCGUGUACGUACAAGCAGUGGGAGCACAGGUUUACCUGUGUGACUGCGUACCUUUUGUAUAAUGGGUCAGCGACUUAUAUUCUGUAGCAAGGUUAACCGUAUAGGGGAGCCGUAGGGAAACCGAGUCUUAACCGGGCGUUAAGUU
RNAcentral lists this ribosomal RNA (669 nucleotides) under Salmonella enterica subsp. enterica serovar 4,[5],12:i:-. Its description in RNAcentral is "partial 23S ribosomal RNA". It matches the Rfam family "Bacterial large subunit ribosomal RNA", at positions 1 to 701 of the family's 2925-position model. The record is from RNAcentral. Lineage: Bacteria; Pseudomonadati; Pseudomonadota; Gammaproteobacteria; Enterobacterales; Enterobacteriaceae.